CCAGCAGCCGCGGUAAUUCCAGCUCCAAUAGCAUAUAUUAAAGUUGUUGCAGUUAAAAAGCUCGUAGUUGGAUUUCAAGAGACGGACCGGUUCACCGGUAAAUCUCUACGGUCACAUGACUGUUACUGUGAGAAAAUUAGAGUGUUUAAAGCAGGCUAUUGCAGGAAUAUAUUAGCAUGGAAUAACGAAUGUGCUUACAAUUUGGUUAAUUGUAGGUUACGAUUAAUAGGGACAGUUGGGGGCAUUAGUAUUUAAUUGUCAGAGGUGAAAUUCUUGGAUUAGUUAAAGACUAACAUAUGCGAAAGCAUUUGCCAAAGAUGUUUUCAUUAAUCAAGAACGAAAGU
RNAcentral lists this ribosomal RNA (344 nucleotides) under uncultured eukaryote. RNAcentral's name for it is "SSU rRNA". It matches the Rfam family "Eukaryotic small subunit ribosomal RNA", at positions 567 to 990 of the family's 1831-position model. The record is from RNAcentral.